UGGAAAAACAGAAACAAUAUUGAAUUAUAUUUGUAUCUUCGGCUUGACAGAGGGUGAAAUUACAAGCGUGACGCACAAGCGAGUACCAGUCAGCGUGAACAGUACGGGGGUACUGUUCAUCUAUUUAUAGGCACAGGGCGCAACCUGUGUAAAUUUACAUUCAUGCCCUUUAUAUUUACUAUUGACUUAUGAAUAAACCAACGGGGACUAGAUUGUCUUUUCCCCUUUAAGUCGGUUCCUUUUUCCGCCACUUAGCCGAAGCUUCCUUGCGUGUAGCUUCGAAGCAAUCAUCAGCCUUCGUCUCAACCAUGCUUUUCACAUCGCGUAUGGUUUUAACCCGAGUCCGAAGUUACCUGUUCAUAUGUCACACUUGAAAAACAUUGUUAAAUCAUGUUUUUGAGGACCUUCGGAAGACGAAGGCCUCCAACAGCAGCGUCCCCUAAAUUUCAUCUUCUAAAGAAAUAUUCUCUAUCCUUUAUAGCACCCUCUAAACGAUUCUAUUCUCUAUAUUUUCUUCGUCUACAGCAACGUCCCCUAAAUUUGGUUCUCUAUAUCUACAGUGUUACUAGAUUUGAAUAAUCUACAUUUUUUUCACCUAUCACAAAAAAGUAUGUCAUGAAUUUAAAAUACUUUUUACAACACAUUUUCAUUUAAUGUAGAAAUUACUCCUCGAUCCUAUAUAGGAAACAAUACAUUGGAAAUUUAUAUUAUAUACUUUUCCAUGUCGUACACACAACAAAAAAUAUUGUUCGUAUGUGCCAAAAUAGAAUUAUGGAGUAAUGAAAAUAAUUACAUUACGUCACCUGCAUGCCAUAAUCACUAGAAGCAACUUUGGUCAUCCAAUGCAGGGAACUACAUUCAGACAAGAAAGGGUCAUAGCUCAAGCACGGUGAUUACAUACCCUAGUAGAAAUGGUCAUGAUUUAGAUUAUUUUAUCAAGAAGCCUAAAGAUAAAUUAUUGUAUAGGAAAUUUCCUUAAGUCAGGUGGAAACCGAAUAAAUGAACUAAACUCAUUUUAUGUGUCAAAAUAAUGCCUUGAACACAGAUGACUGAAUCUGAACCAUUAUGGGAAAUCAGAACGAAAUAAUGCCUUGCUUUAUGUGUCAAAAUCUGGAUUAAUCUAUGUGAAUGAACGAAAUAAUUAGGGAGAAAAUGUACCGGUGACUGAAUCAAACACAGGUAAAAAAGGAACAAUAUAAUGUGACCCCUCUGAACUUAGUGUUCUUCUCUAAACCGUUAUGGGAAAAUAGAGAAAUCAAACGCAACAUGGCAAGGAGACUCCAAUCACCUUCGAUGGCUUGGAUCGGGACCUUUGACAAAAUCGAAGACGAAGCGUACGAACACGAUGGACUUCACUUCCUUUUCUCAGCACCGACCUGCGAGGAGGGAAGGGGCGGCGUUUGGCUACAUCAAACUUGGACGAAUGGACGGUCGUCCUCAGUGCUGGCUUGAGCUCGCGACGACCUCUGUUCGGACCUGUCCGGCUCCGGCAACUUGGGGCCCAGCUUCGCCACUGCCUUCGACAAACAACGCCGGGAACAACCGGCGCCGCGGGGAGACAGUUGCAACCGGAAAGGAGCGCG
This 1583-nucleotide long non-coding RNA is filed under the name Zea mays. RNAcentral's name for it is "long non-coding RNA (ZMAY_LNC002325)". The record is from RNAcentral. Lineage: Eukaryota; Viridiplantae; Streptophyta; Magnoliopsida; Poales; Poaceae.